This 773-nucleotide long non-coding RNA is filed under the name Monodelphis domestica (gray short-tailed opossum). Its description in RNAcentral is "lncRNA (ENSMODG00000043723.1)". The record is from RNAcentral. Lineage: Eukaryota; Metazoa; Chordata; Mammalia; Didelphimorphia; Didelphidae.
GAAUCUGCUUAUGGACUCAUUUCUAAUUUGUGACUAGUUGAUCUUCUAGUCCUCUUCACCUUGCUCUCAUUACUUGAAACACAUACCUGAACAAAGAGUUUGAGUGAAAUGAAGAGACACAAAUGUAGCCAGUUUAGAGUGAAGAUAGCAGAAUGAAUCCUAGUACUGAAUGAAUCAUUACCACCAUUUAUAAUGCAGACUAUAGCAGGAAUUUGAUAAUAGAUAGGUACUUGGAAAUUUUCCUCAUGAUUAGAUGAAAAAAUUUGUCAGUAUGCGCAUUGGUAGUUAGUCUUUCAAAUAUAAUUUAAAUGAACAUUCUUUGUAGAAUUCUCAAGGUAGCAACAGAAAGUUUCAAACUCUGGGAAGAUUGAAGAAAAAAGAAAAGCCAGAAGAGAAAAGAAGAUCCAUCUGCCCAUAUCUGUUGCUCAAAAUCAACUGGGUAUUUCUUUGUGAAACAGGGCAUCUAAAUGUACCAGCAAGUUGUAACCAAACAGUCUUGGCUGCUUCAGUGCAUGCAUGUGACAAAAAUUUAAGGCCCUUGACUCUUCAUGUUGACCUGCUAAGGAUACUAUCUGACUAAGUAGAAACUGAACACAGUAAUGGUCAAAUUGGAAAAAAAAUCAUCUCCUUAUUUCCCUGAAGCCAUCUGUCUCAAAGUUCAUUAGUCCAACCAAGACUCAAGGAAAAAGUGACUUACUCAUUGGUAUACAGUUUUUAAGUGCCGUAAGAAAUAUUUAAAUAAAAUUCUGUCGUAUUUGUUUUAUUUCUAUUUC